Molecule: ribosomal RNA, 366 nt
Filed under: Acanthamoeba sp. Mahwah
Lineage: Eukaryota; Discosea; Longamoebia; Acanthamoebidae
Description: SSU rRNA
Rfam family: Eukaryotic small subunit ribosomal RNA
Source: RNAcentral
GGCCCAGAUCGUUUACCGUGAAAAAAUUAGAGUGUUCAAAGCAGGCAGAUCCAAUUUUCUGCCACCGAAUACAUUAGCAUGGGAUAAUGGAAUAGGACCCUGUCCUCCUAUUUUCAGUUGGUUUUGGCAGCGCGAGGACUAGGGUAAUAUGUUUUCAUUAAUCAAGAACGAAAGUUAGGGGAUCGAAGACGAUCAGAUACCGUCGUAGUCUUAACCAUAAACGAUGCCGACCAGCGAUUAGGAGACGUUGAAUACAAAACACCACCAUCGGCGCGGUCGUCCUUGGCGUCGGUCCUUCACGGGGCCGGCGCGAGGGCGGCUUAGCCCGGUGGCACCGGUGAAUGACUCCCCUAGCAGCUUGUGAGA